Long non-coding RNA from Pogonomyrmex barbatus (red harvester ant), 181 nucleotides. The record is from RefSeq and is a predicted model, not a curated record. NCBI's taxonomy places the organism in Eukaryota, Metazoa, Arthropoda, Insecta, Hymenoptera, Formicidae.
GUGCUUCAAAUGCUCGUUGAUGGUCUAAGAAGAGAGCAAUAAAUACGAUAAGAAUAAAAUUCUUUUUUCUAUUUACGAUAAAAAUAUCAACAUCGAGAGGAUAUCUAUUCAGCAUAAAACAACGUGCUGUGGAUGCUAUCGAGCAAGACGAAAUGAGCGAGGUCGAGCGGAGAAGAGGAAA